UGCAGCCGGGGUGACACCGAGGCGCUCCCGACCCCUGACCUCUAACCCGGGUUUCUCCUCCGGCCGCCCCUCCUUACUGCGCUUAUCGCCCCCUCCCAGUCAAGCUGGUCACAUUGUUGCUGUUUCACUGCGGCUGACUGGAGGCCAGGGAAGAGAGUGGGGAGACGGUGUCGCAAAGAGGAGGCUGAGACUGCCCUCUCCUGCUCCAGACACGAUGUCGGGGCCUCGCGAACACCCCGCCGCCAUUCUGCACUUUCACCGAGGCUUCGCGAUGGAACACAGGACCGGACGGCCUUGCAGAGAAGCGGCUCCUCGUCUGCGUGGAAGGAAACCGGAGUCCUGGCUCUGUUCAACGAAAAUUGUCUGUGGGAGUAGGGAUGGAGGAGGUGACCCAGAAAGAUCACUCUGUUAAAGACCCUUGCUCAUCGCUGCCCUGGGGGGCACAUAGGAGGUGCCCGUGACCUGCCCUGUUACCCUUUCCUGGUUUUGCCGUUAUUUUUCUCAUUGCAAUUUGACUUUGCCUGUGUCUCAGUCUCCCUCUCUCACCCUGAGCCGGCACUGCGCUUUUUCAUCUUGAUGGCUCCCACAGUGCCGGCCUCUGAGAACCUGUUUGCUAAGUGAUUGAGAAACUGCCAUAUCCAAAAAAAAUUAGGCACCAACUGGACUUCUCUGGCUCUAUUCCAAGAGCUUCAGGCAGCUUCCAUGACAGUCUGGAUGAUGUAAGGAGAAUUUUAAGGCACACAUGCAAGGUGGUUAACACACCUGCCCUGGACACCUGUGCACCAUCACUUUCCAGAUCAGGCGGUACCUAGGUAUACUGGGGAAAACAAGAGAAGGGACUGCAUGUGCUGUGAGGAAAGGUUAAAAGCCCAGUGCAACUGAAAGGGAUUCAUAUGCCCCAGUUUCUUCUGGAUGUCAAGGAAGAGCAUCUGUCUGGGAGCCACGUCACACCAAGAUGUCAGCCGUAUGGCUUUCCCUCACGAGGAAUAAGGGCCGGCGCCGUGACCCAUAGAAUACGGUGGUAGUGAGACUGUGCCAUUUCAGCUUCCACCUCUGUCUCUUGGGACAAUCUUUCUGGACACUCUGAGCUGUCGUGUGAGAAGUCUGGCCAUCCAAAGAUCAACUGUGCUGGAGAGACCAGUUGUGGACACUCUUGAGUGACAGUCCAGCUGAGCCCAGCCUUCCAGCCAGCCCCACUCAGGGGCCAGACAUUUGAAUGACGUGAAUGAAACUCACCUGCCAGUCAACUGUUACUGAGUGACCUCAGUUGCCACUAGAAGAGACGUUCAGAGAAGCCCUGCCUGAAUUCCUCACCCACAGAACCCUGAAAUAUAAUAAAAUGGUUGUUCUAAGCUGCUAAAUUUGGUGGUAAUUUGAUAUGCAGCAAUAGAUGACUGGAGCAACACGUAUUAUCUCCUGCAAUCCAUUCAUUACUUCUGCUUCACAGACUAGGAAAUUUAAGCUCAGAGGGACUCCUAGGAAGCACAAGGUGGAGCUGGCAUUUGAACUUGGGAAGUCUGACCCCAGAGAUCCCUGGACCCAGCCCCUUGCUAUACUGCCCUCUCGUGGGUCUGCAUGCCCCUCCUGCAGGAGGGUUGGCACUCCAACCAGAAACACUACCUUCUACUAAUGGAGUGAAUGAAUUUAUAAGGAGCGAUGUCUCUAGCACUGGGACAUUAUUCUGACUGAGAU
Long non-coding RNA from Choloepus didactylus (southern two-toed sloth), 1692 nucleotides. RefSeq lists it as uncharacterized. NCBI's taxonomy places the organism in Eukaryota, Metazoa, Chordata, Mammalia, Pilosa, Megalonychidae. The transcript has 4 exons. The record is from RefSeq and is a predicted model, not a curated record.